RNAcentral lists this ribosomal RNA (406 nucleotides) under uncultured bacterium. Its description in RNAcentral is "partial 16S ribosomal RNA". It matches the Rfam family "Bacterial small subunit ribosomal RNA", at positions 30 to 526 of the family's 1533-position model. The record is from RNAcentral.
AUUGAACGCUGGCGGCAGGCCUAACACAUGCAAGUCGAACGAGUGGCGGACGGGUGAGUAAUGACUGGGAAACUGCCUGAUGGAGGGGGAUAACUACUGGAAACGGUAGCUAAUACCGCAUACCAUCGGAUGUGCCCAGAUGGGAUUAGCUAGUAGGGGGGGUAACGGCUCACCUAGGCGACGAUCCCUAGCUGGUCUGACAGAAUGACCAGCCACACAGGAACUGAGACACGGUCCAGACUCCCACGGACGGCAGCAGUGGGGAAUAUUGCACAAUGGGUGCAAGCCUGAUGCAGCCAUGCCGCGUGUAUGAAGAAGGCCUUAGGGUUGUAAAGUACUUUAAGCGGGGAGGCGUUACCAGCAGAAGAAGCACCGGCUAACUCCGUGCCAGCAGCCGCGGUAAUAC